CCUACGGGAGGCAGCAGUGAGGAAUAUUGGUCAAUGGCCGGAAGGCUGAACCAGCCAAGCCGCGUGAGGGAGGAAGGCGCAGAGCGUCGCAGACCUCUUUUGCCGGGGGACAAAAGGCCGGACUCGUCCGGUCCUGAGGGUACCCGGAGAAAAAGCAUCGGCUAACUCCGUGCCAGCAGCCGCGGUAAUACGGAGGAUGCGAGCGUUAUCCGGAUUCAUUGGGUUUAAAGGGUGCGCAGGCGGGCCUUUAAGCCGGCGGUGAAAUCGCGGGGCUCAACCCCGCCGAGCCGUGGGAACUGGGGGCCUUGAGUGCGGCGGAGGCAUGCGGAAUGCGCGGUGUAGCGGUGAAAUGCAUAGAUAUCGCGCAGAACCCCGAUUGCGAAGGCAGCGGGCCGUGCCGCCACUGACGCUGAGGCACGAAAGCGCGGGGAUCGAACAGGAUUAGAUACCCCGGUAGUC
RNAcentral lists this ribosomal RNA (459 nucleotides) under uncultured bacterium. RNAcentral's name for it is "partial 16S ribosomal RNA". It matches the Rfam family "Bacterial small subunit ribosomal RNA", at positions 338 to 795 of the family's 1533-position model. The record is from RNAcentral.